This 504-nucleotide ribosomal RNA is filed under the name Psora decipiens. RNAcentral's name for it is "LSU rRNA". It matches the Rfam family "Eukaryotic large subunit ribosomal RNA", at positions 95 to 603 of the family's 3401-position model. Lineage: Eukaryota; Fungi; Ascomycota; Lecanoromycetes; Lecanorales; Psoraceae. The record is from RNAcentral.
GAAGCGGCAACAGCUCAAAUUUGAAAUCUGACCCUUUGGGGUCCGAGUUGUAAUUUGCAGAGGGUGUUUCGGGCACGGUGCCGGUUUAAGUCCUUUGGAACAGGGUGUCAUAGAGGGUGAGAACCCCGUAUGUGACCGGUCGCCAAACCCAUGUGAAACCCCUUCGACGAGUCGAGUUGUUUGGGAAUGCAGCUCAAAAUGGGUGGUAAAUUUCAUCUAAAGCUAAAUAUUGGCCAGAGACCGAUAGCGCACAAGUAGAGUGAUCGAAAGAUGAAAAGCACUUUGGAAAGAGAGUCAAACAGCACGUGAAAUUGUUGAAAGGGAAGCGCUUGCGACCAGACCUGCUCGCGGGUGAUCAGCGGUGCUUUUCGCGCCGUGCACUCAUCCGCGAUCAGGCCAGCAUCGGUUCAGGCGGCCGGACAAAGACUCGGAGAAUGUAGCUCCCUCCGGGGAGUGUUAUUAUCUCCUUGUGCAAUACGGCCAGCCGGGACCGAGGACCGCGCU